ACUCAUCGUACUUCGUCGAGUGGAUUCCGAACAACGUGAAAUCAAGCGUCUGCGAUAUAGCUCCCACGGGUUUGAAAAUGGCGUCGACUUUCAUAGGAAACUCGACUUCGAUCCAGGAGAUGUUCAGGCGUGUGAGUGAACAGUUCACUGCUAUGUUCAGGAGGAAGGCUUUCUUGCAUUGGUACACGGGAGAAGGGAUGGACGAGAUGGAGUUCACGGAAGCUGAGAGUAACAUGAACGAUCUUGUUGCAGAGUACCAGCAAUAUCAGGAUGCUACAGUCGGUGAAGAAGAGUAUGAGGAGGACGAAGAAGAGUAUGAGGAAGAAGCUUAAGAAGACAUGGUUG
This 345-nucleotide long non-coding RNA is filed under the name Brassica rapa (field mustard). RNAcentral describes it as "long non-coding RNA (BRAP_LNC005968)". Lineage: Eukaryota; Viridiplantae; Streptophyta; Magnoliopsida; Brassicales; Brassicaceae. The record is from RNAcentral.